Molecule: long non-coding RNA, 869 nt
Filed under: Homo sapiens (human)
Lineage: Eukaryota; Metazoa; Chordata; Mammalia; Primates; Hominidae
Description: novel transcript
Source: RNAcentral
AGAAUGGUGGGGAAGCAUUUCCCGUGGGACAACACAAGUGUGAGCUCCUGCAAAGGGGCCCAGAAUGGUGGGGAAGCAGAACUUCUGCCUCCAACUCACUUUCUCACUGUGCUACUGCGGAUCCAGAGGAAUCUCUGCAUGUGAGGCUCUGCCAGGGAGCUCAACCUCACAAGACAGACCGUCAUGUAGAGACAACUGCUACACAACAUGGGAAGAACUGCUAGAGAUGUAAAGAUGUAAAGACCCAAAAUGAAGAAGCCAGAACACAUGAACACAAAACCAGCCAACCAACAAACACAAGCAGCAUGGAGCAUAGAGUCUGGGGACCAACUGCAUGGUGCUGAGGAAUGCAGCAGUUACAAACAAACAAACUCACCAAAGAAAACACCAGACAAACAUACAUCCAAUAGUAUUGUGUCCGGAAUUGGUGGGUUCUUGGUCUCACUGACUUCAAGAAUGAAGCCACGGACCCUUGCGCUGAAGGCAAUUGAGAAAAAGAAGAUGCGAGAAGAGCUGUUUACCCUUCCUUUAUCUGCUUAAAAGCAAGGAAUAAAUUUCCAUUAUAAAGGUGUCCCCUUGUUCUCAUACCAAGAAGAGGAGACAGCAUCAAGAUUACUCUACAUAAAGAAACCCAACUAAAUAACCCUUAUCUAUAAUAGUUUCUCCCAUAUAUUUACCUUCCUACAAUUUAAUGCCCCUAGAAGCCCAAGCCCCUUUUCUUUGGUUGCUUCCCCACAAUUUAUCGUACUUUGUUAAAAUGGUAGGUAAGCUCCUAAGUGUAACCACUUCUUUGGAUUUUUUUAGUUCUUUCUCUGCAGUUCCCAUGCAUAUAAAAAUAUUAACAACAAAUAAAAUUUGUAUGCUCUUCA